RNAcentral lists this ribosomal RNA (290 nucleotides) under uncultured Glomus. RNAcentral's name for it is "partial small subunit ribosomal RNA". It matches the Rfam family "Eukaryotic small subunit ribosomal RNA", at positions 569 to 864 of the family's 1831-position model. Lineage: Eukaryota; Fungi; Glomeromycota; Glomeromycetes; Glomerales; Glomeraceae. The record is from RNAcentral.
AGCAGCCGCGGUAAUUCCAGCUCCAAUAGCGUAUAUUAAAGUUGUUGCAGUUAAAAAGCUCGUAGUUGAAUUUCGGGAUCAAUUUAUUGGUCGUGCUAUUGUACGUACUGGUAUUAUUGAUUCCUACCUUCUGACGAACCAUGAUGUCAUUAAUUUGGUGUCAUGGGGAAUCAGGACUGUUACUUUGAAAAAAUUAGAGUGUUUAAAGCAGGCUCACGCUUGAAUACAUUAGCAUGGAAUAACGAAAUAGGACGUUUGAUUCUAUUUUGUUGGUUUCUAGGAUCGACGUA